Long non-coding RNA from Coturnix japonica (Japanese quail), 609 nucleotides. Lineage: Eukaryota; Metazoa; Chordata; Aves; Galliformes; Phasianidae. The record is from Ensembl.
AUUUUCCUGACAAAUGGUUCUUUUAUUUUUUUUAACAGAUGCUUUUUGGCAGCACUGACAUAUAAUGCCUGUUUUAUCUUACCAUUUAAAAGAAGUUUUGAGAGUUAACCAGAAAACAAAUAGCCAGUACAGCUUUGCUUUUCAGGACUAUUUCUUAAUGCAGCUAUUCUCAUACACAUCUCUCAUGUCGUAUGAAAUGCUGUAGUGUAUGACAGACAUUUGGAGGGGCAGAUGUAUGUGACACUAUAUGAGUGGAAAAGCAGCUGGAAGCCAGAUCAGUGUACUUCACUUAUGAGUUGGAGGUGCAAUACAACCUUGCGAAUGACAUCAUUUUACAAAACUAAGAGCAUUUCCCAGCAAAUGAUUUUAAAAAAUUAUAAAAGAAAAAUAUAAAUUAUUGGAUCUUUUCUAAACACUACAAUUUUACUCUUUGGUAAGAAGGUGACUUCCAGCAAGUGCAUAUCAUCACCUCAACCUCCUGUGUCAAGAAAAUCUUUUCUCCUUUUAUGAAACUGAAGUGUCAAAAUUGCAAAUAGCAGAUUUGUUCUAGGGCAUCUUUGCAUGUUUUAUCAAAAUAAAUUAAAUUGUCUUGCUUUUACCUGUAUUUCC